This 2899-nucleotide ribosomal RNA is filed under the name Klebsiella pneumoniae. Its description in RNAcentral is "partial 23S ribosomal RNA". It matches the Rfam family "Bacterial large subunit ribosomal RNA". The record is from RNAcentral. Lineage: Bacteria; Pseudomonadati; Pseudomonadota; Gammaproteobacteria; Enterobacterales; Enterobacteriaceae.
GGGUUGUGAGGUUAAGCGACUAAGCGUACACGGUGGAUGCCCUGGCAGUCAGAGGCGAUGAAGGACGUGCUAAUCUGCGAAAAGCGUCGGUAAGGUGAUAUGAACCGUUAUAACCGGCGAUGUCCGAAUGGGGAAACCCAGUGCAAUUCGUUGCACUAUCGUUAACUGAAUACAUAGGUUAACGAGGCGAACCGGGGGAACUGAAACAUCUAAGUACCCCGAGGAAAAGAAAUCAACCGAGAUUCCCCCAGUAGCGGCGAGCGAACGGGGAGCAGCCCAGAGUCUGAAUCAGCUUGUGUGUUAGUGGAACGGUCUGGAAAGUCCGACGGUACAGGGUGAUAGUCCCGUACACCAAAAUGCACAGGUUGUGAACUCGAAGAGUAGGGCGGGACACGUGGUAUCCUGUCUGAAUAUGGGGGGACCAUCCUCCAAGGCUAAAUACUCCUGACUGACCGAUAGUGAACCAGUACCGUGAGGGAAAGGCGAAAAGAACCCCGGCGAGGGGAGUGAAAAAGAACCUGAAACCGUGUACGUACAAGCAGUGGGAGCACCUUCGGGUGUGACUGCGUACCUUUUGUAUAAUGGGUCAGCGACUUAUAUUCUGUAGCAAGGUUAACCGUAUAGGGGAGCCGCAGGGAAACCGAGUCUUAACUGGGCGUUAAGUUGCAGGGUAUAGACCCGAAACCCGGUGAUCUAGCCAUGGGCAGGUUGAAGGUUGGGUAACACUAACUGGAGGACCGAACCGACUAAUGUUGAAAAAUUAGCGGAUGACUUGUGGCUGGGGGUGAAAGGCCAAUCAAACCGGGAGAUAGCUGGUUCUCCCCGAAAGCUAUUUAGGUAGCGCCUCGUGAAUUCAUCUUCGGGGGUAGAGCACUGUUUCGGCUAGGGGGUCAUCCCGACUUACCAACCCGAUGCAAACUACGAAUACCGAAGAAUGUUAUCACGGGAGACACACGGCGGGUGCUAACGUCCGUCGUGAAGAGGGAAACAACCCAGACCGCCAGCUAAGGUCCCAAAGUCAUGGUUAAGUGGGAAACGAUGUGGGAAGGCACAGACAGCCAGGAUGUUGGCUUAGAAGCAGCCAUCAUUUAAAGAAAGCGUAAUAGCUCACUGGUCGAGUCGGCCUGCGCGGAAGAUGUAACGGGGCUAAACCAUGCACCGAAGCUGCGGCAGCGACACGAUGUGUUGUUGGGUAGGGGAGCGUUCUGUAAGCCUGCGAAGGUGUGCUGUGAGGCAUGCUGGAGGUAUCAGAAGUGCGAAUGCUGACAUAAGUAACGAUAAAGCGGGUGAAAAGCCCGCUCGCCGGAAGACCAAGGGUUCCUGUCCAACGUUAAUCGGGGCAGGGUGAGUCGACCCCUAAGGCGAGGCCGAAAGGCGUAGUCGAUGGGAAACAGGUUAAUAUUCCUGUACUUGGUGUUACUGCGAAGGGGGGACGGAGAAGGCUAUGUUAGCCGGGCGACGGUUGUCCCGGUUUAAGCAUGUAGGCUGNNNNNNNNNNNNNNNNNNNNNNNNNNNNNNNNNNNNNNNNNNNNNNNNNNNNNNNNNNNNNNNNNNNNNNNNNNNNNNNNNNNNNNNNNNNNNNNNNNNNUCCAGGCAAAUCCGGAUAAUCAAGGCUGAGGUGUGAUGACGAGGCACUACGGUGCUGAAGUAACAAAUGCCCUGCUUCCAGGAAAAGCCUCUAAGCAUCAGGUAACAUCAAAUCGUACCCCAAACCGACACAGGUGGUCAGGUAGAGAAUACCAAGGCGCUUGAGAGAACUCGGGUGAAGGAACUAGGCAAAAUGGUGCCGUAACUUCGGGAGAAGGCACGCUGGUGUGUAGGUGAAGUCCCUGCGGAUGGAGCUGAGACCAGUCGAAGAUACCAGCUGGCUGCAACUGUUUAUUAAAAACACAGCACUGUGCAAACACGAAAGUGGACGUAUACGGUGUGACGCCUGCCCGGUGCCGGAAGGUUAAUUGAUGGGGUUAUCCGUAAGGAGAAGCUCUUGAUCGAAGCCCCGGUAAACGGCGGCCGUAACUAUAACGGUCCUAAGGUAGCGAAAUUCCUUGUCGGGUAAGUUCCGACCUGCACGAAUGGCGUAAUGAUGGCCAGGCUGUCUCCACCCGAGACUCAGUGAAAUUGAACUCGCUGUGAAGAUGCAGUGUACCCGCGGCAAGACGGAAAGACCCCGUGAACCUUUACUAUAGCUUGACACUGAACAUUGAGCCUUGAUGUGUAGGAUAGGUGGGAGGCUUUGAAGCGUGGACGCCAGUCUGCGUGGAGCCAACCUUGAAAUACCACCCUUUAAUGUUUGAUGUUCUAACGUUGGCCCCUGACCGGGGUUGCGGACAGUGUCUGGUGGGUAGUUUGACUGGGGCGGUCUCCUCCCAAAGCGUAACGGAGGAGCACGAAGGUUAGCUAAUCCUGGUCGGACAUCAGGAGGUUAGUGCAAUGGCAUAAGCUAGCUUGACUGCGAGCGUGACGGCGCGAGCAGGUGCGAAAGCAGGUCAUAGUGAUCCGGUGGUUCUGAAUGGAAGGGCCAUCGCUCAACGGAUAAAAGGUACUCCGGGGAUAACAGGCUGAUACCGCCCAAGAGUUCAUAUCGACGGCGGUGUUUGGCACCUCGAUGUCGGCUCAUCACAUCCUGGGGCUGAAGUAGGUCCCAAGGGUAUGGCUGUUCGCCAUUUAAAGUGGUACGCGAGCUGGGUUUAGAACGUCGUGAGACAGUUCGGUCCCUAUCUGCCGUGGGCGCUGGAGAAUUGAGGGGGGCUGCUCCUAGUACGAGAGGACCGGAGUGGACGCAUCACUGGUGUUCGGGUUGUCAUGCCAAUGGCACUGCCCGGUAGCUAAAUGCGGAAGAGAUAAGUGCUGAAAGCAUCUAAGCACGAAACUUGCCCCGAGAUGAGUUCUCCCUGAGACU